Long non-coding RNA from Bubalus bubalis (water buffalo), 487 nucleotides. RefSeq lists it as uncharacterized. The record is from RefSeq and is a predicted model, not a curated record. The transcript is spliced from 2 exons. Lineage: Eukaryota; Metazoa; Chordata; Mammalia; Artiodactyla; Bovidae.
GUUGGCUAGUGGCUUGAGUGGACCUCAUGGGAUGGCAUUAUUAUUCUUUUUUAUUUUAUCACAUUUGUAAGUAACCAUGUCUGCACUGGUUAGAUAAUAUCUGAAAAAUCCUAAUUUCCGUAUGCCAGAUUUUAAGAUGGAGUGCUAAUAAACUGGCAGGUCCAGGAGGCAGAAUUAAGUAAUGAGAGAUUUUAGAAACUGAUCCUAAGAAGAAAUGAAGAAAUCAUGAAAUUACAACUUUGAGAGACAUCUUAGAUAAGAUUCCAGAGCAAGUUUCCCCAAUUUGUCACCGAGUGCUAACUAAUUAAGGAGUUGUCACUUUCCUGGCCUUCUCUCAAUGCUAUGCUCACUACAGCAUAUAAAUGUGGGUGUGAGGGUAAUCCUUCAUUAUAUAUUCAAGGGAACUGCCAAGUGUUUCCAUUUGUAUUGUUAUCAUUUGAAGAUAAAUCAUUCCAAUUUAUUUUAAUAAAAGGCAAACAGAUAUGUA